RNAcentral lists this long non-coding RNA (201 nucleotides) under Solanum tuberosum (potato). RNAcentral's name for it is "long non-coding RNA (STUB_LNC001141)". Lineage: Eukaryota; Viridiplantae; Streptophyta; Magnoliopsida; Solanales; Solanaceae. The record is from RNAcentral.
AUACUUUGUCUCACAUGAUCCACAAUAUGACUAGGUAAAUACUCUUGCAUACUAUUAUAAUCCCAUCCAGAAUCCUUCAAAAAAACCUCAAUAUCAUCCAAAGAAUGACAACCGUGCACUUCUGUCGGAUGUAGAAACAAAGGACCAAGACUAGUCCAAUUGUCAAACCAAAUGCUAGAUGUUCCUCCUUUAGGUUCCCAC